Molecule: long non-coding RNA, 227 nt
Filed under: Salvia miltiorrhiza (redroot sage)
Lineage: Eukaryota; Viridiplantae; Streptophyta; Magnoliopsida; Lamiales; Lamiaceae
Description: long non-coding RNA (SMIL_LNC003617)
Source: RNAcentral
CUUUUUUUAUUUAUUUUUUAUUAUUUGGGGUUUCUAUAUAUUUUCUUUUUUCUGGGGUGUCCCUGCAAAUUAAAGAAUGUCUUGUUUUCUCAGCUACCUUAUAUAGUGAUCGAGACAUAUGUCUUAUGAUGUGUGGCCUACUUAUAUUAUUGGAAAAAAAGGUGGUCUCCUGUAACUAUUUCUAAUUAUUCGUUGCUGACCAAUCACAUAUAUUACUAGGUUUAGAG